UUAAGGGAGCCCGGCCGCGCCCGGUGCAUUGUGGGAGCGGCCCGCGGCCCGUUUUCGGGAGGAGGCGGAGGGCGCAAAGCGAGCCGGUGGAUCCAUAAAGAACCCAGCCAACCCGCAGAGGGAGGGGAGGGGCUGAGCUGUGAGGAGAGCGGGGCCCAAGAACCAUGUCUACGCGGGAGUCCUUUAACCCGGAAAGUUACGAAUUGGACAAAAGCUUCCGGCUAACCAGAUUCACUGAACUGAAGGGCACAGGCUGCAAAGUGCCCCAAGAUGUCCUGCAAAAAUUGCUGGAAUCUUUACAGGAGAACCACUUCCAAGAAGAUGAGCAGUUUCUGGGAGCCGUUAUGCCAAGGCUUGAUAGAGAAAGCAGAUAAAAGCAGACUUGCUUUUGUUGGAAAGGAAGAAAUGUUACACCC
RNAcentral lists this long non-coding RNA (416 nucleotides) under Homo sapiens (human). Its description in RNAcentral is "HSALNT0159124". Lineage: Eukaryota; Metazoa; Chordata; Mammalia; Primates; Hominidae. The record is from RNAcentral.